RNAcentral lists this ribosomal RNA (463 nucleotides) under uncultured bacterium. RNAcentral's name for it is "bacterial SSU rRNA". It matches the Rfam family "Bacterial small subunit ribosomal RNA", at positions 331 to 792 of the family's 1533-position model. The record is from RNAcentral.
CCAGACUCCUACGGGAGGCAGCAGUGAGGAAUAUUGGUCAAUGGCCGAGAGGCUGAACCAGCCAAGUCGCGUGAGGGAAGACGGCCCUACGGGUUGUAAACCUCUUUUGUCGGGGAGCAAAGCGAACCACGUGUGGUUCAUUGAGAGUACCCGAAGAAAAAGCAUCGGCUAACUCCGUGCCAGCAGCCGCGGUAAUACGGAGGAUGCGAGCGUUAUCCGGAUUUAUUGGGUUUAAAGGGUGCGCAGGCGGAAGAUCAAGUCAGCGGUAAAAUUGAGAGGCUCAACCUCUUCGAGCCGUUGAAACUGGUUUUCUUGAGUGGGCGAGAAGUAUGCGGAAUGCGUGGUGUAGCGGUGAAAUGCAUAGAUAUCACGCAGAACCCCGAUUGCGAAGGCAGCAUGCCGGCUUCCGACUGACGCUGAAGCACGAAAGCGUGGGGAUCGAACAGGAUUAGAUACCCCCGUA